AAGAGCUUGCUCUUAUGAAGUUAGCGGCGGACGGGUGAGUAACACGUGGGUAACCUGCCCAUAAGACUGGGAUAACUCCGGGAAACCGGGGCUAAUACCGGAUAACAUUUUGAACCGCAUGGUUCGAAAUUGAAAGGCGGCUUCGGCUGUCACUUAUGGAUGGACCCGCGUCGCAUUAGCUAGUUGGUGAGGUAACGGCUCACCAAGGCAACGAUGCGUAGCCGACCUGAGAGGGUGAUCGGCCACACUGGGACUGAGACACGGCCCAGACUCCUACGGGAGGCAGCAGUAGGGAAUCUUCCGCAAUGGACGAAAGUCUGACGGAGCAACGCCGCGUGAGUGAUGAAGGCUUUCGGGUCGUAAAACUCUGUUGUUAGGGAAGAACAAGUGCUAGUUGAAUAAGCUGGCACCUUGACGGUACCUAACCAGAAAGCCACGGCUAACUACGUGCCAGCAGCCGCGGUAAUACGUAGGUGGCAAGCGUUAUCCGGAAUUAUUGGGCGUAGAGCGCGCGCAGGUGGUUUCUUAAGUCUGAUGUGAAAGCCCACGGCUCAACCGUGGAGGGUCAUUGGAAACUGGGAGACUUGAGUGCAGAAAGAGGAAAGUGGAAUUCCAUGUGUAGCGGUGAAAUGCGUAGAGAUAUGGAGGAACACCAGUGGCGAAGGCGACUUUCUGGUCUGUAACUGACACUGAGGCGCGAAAGCGUGGGGAGCAAACAGGA
RNAcentral lists this ribosomal RNA (721 nucleotides) under Bacillus cereus. Its description in RNAcentral is "bacterial SSU rRNA". It matches the Rfam family "Bacterial small subunit ribosomal RNA", at positions 74 to 777 of the family's 1533-position model. Lineage: Bacteria; Bacillati; Bacillota; Bacilli; Caryophanales; Bacillaceae. The record is from RNAcentral.